This 447-nucleotide ribosomal RNA is filed under the name uncultured bacterium. RNAcentral's name for it is "bacterial SSU rRNA". It matches the Rfam family "Bacterial small subunit ribosomal RNA", at positions 330 to 794 of the family's 1533-position model. The record is from RNAcentral.
CCCAGACUCCUACGGGAGGCAGCAGUGGGGGAUAUUGCACAAUGGGGGAAACCCUGAUGCAGCAACGCCGCGUGAGUGAAGAAGUAUUUCGGUAUGUAAAGCUCUCUCAGCAGGGAAGAGAAUGACGGUACCUGACUAAGAAGCCCCGGCUAACUACGUGCCAGCAGCCGCGGUAAUACGUAGGGGGCGAGCGUUAUCCGGAUUUACUGGGUGUAAAGGGAGCGUAGACGGCUGGUCAAGUCUGAAGUGAAAGCCCGGGGCUUAACCCCGGAACGGCUUUGGAAACUGAGCAGCUAGAGUGCUGGAGAGGUAAGCGGAAUUCCUAGUGUAGCGGUGAAAUGCGUAGAUAUUAGGAGGAACACCAGUGGCGAAGGCGGCUUACUGGACAGUAACUGACGUUGAGGCUCGAAAGCGUGGGGGGCAAACAGGAUUAGAUACCCCAGUAAA